GCUUAGCUGAGGGCCGAUGGUUCCUGCGGUCAUGACGUGCCGCGGGAUGAAAAGGGAAUGCGGUGAGGAUGACCCUGAUGGGGCCGAAACCGCAGCUGCCCCCGCAACUGUGAGCGGUGAACGACAUCCAGACGGCCACUGGCGUCUUUUUUCGGUUUGCGUCGCCUUAUCGACGCCGAAGCGCUGCCGCUUCGACCGGGAAGGACAGGACGCCGGGAAGGCGGAUGCCGUGUUGACCCGCAAGCCAGGAGACCUGCCAUCGACAAGCCGGGCGG
Molecule: non-coding RNA, 275 nt
Filed under: Rhizobium sp.
Lineage: Bacteria; Pseudomonadati; Pseudomonadota; Alphaproteobacteria; Hyphomicrobiales; Rhizobiaceae
Source: RNAcentral